GAGUUUGAUCCUGGCUCAGGAUGAACGCUGGCGGCGUGCUUAACACAUGCAAGUCGAACGGGGAUGCCAUUUUCGAGGCGGUUAGUUUACUAAGCGCCAAGAUGCUGGCAUCUUAGUGGCGGACGGGUGAGUAACGCGUGGGUAACCUGCCUUAUACAGGGGGAUAACACUUAGAAAUAGGUGCUAAUACCGCAUAAGCGCACGGGGCUGCAUGGCCCAGUGUGAAAAACUCCGGUGGUAUAAGAUGGACCCGCGUCUGAUUAGCUUGUUGGCGGGGUAACGGCCCACCAAGGCGACGAUCAAUAGCCGGCCUGAGAGGGUGGACGGCCACAUUGGGACUGAGACACGGCCCAAACUCCUACGGGAGGCAGCAGUGGGGAAUAUUGGACAAUGGGGGGAACCCUGAUCCAGCGACGCCGCGUGAGUGAAGAAGUAUUUCGGUAUGUAAAGCUCUAUCAGCAGGGAAGAAAGAAAUGACGGUACCUGACUAAGAAGCCCCGGCUAACUACGUGCCAGCAGCCGCGGUAAUACGUAGGGGGCAAGCGUUAUCCGGAUUUACUGGGUGUAAAGGGAGCGUAGACGGUUAUGCAAGUCUGGAGUGAAAGGCGGGGGCCCAACCCCCGGACUGCUUUGGAAACUGUGU
This 643-nucleotide ribosomal RNA is filed under the name uncultured bacterium. Its description in RNAcentral is "bacterial SSU rRNA". It matches the Rfam family "Bacterial small subunit ribosomal RNA", at positions 9 to 638 of the family's 1533-position model. The record is from RNAcentral.